RNAcentral lists this small RNA (745 nucleotides) under Drosophila ananassae. RNAcentral describes it as "GF27553". The record is from RNAcentral. Lineage: Eukaryota; Metazoa; Arthropoda; Insecta; Diptera; Drosophilidae.
UACUUUUGAGCAAAUUUUAUUUUCGAACUGCUGCUUUUAUUUUCUACAUGCUUUUCUACAUAUAAUUGGUAAAGCGCCCUCUGGCGUUUGUUGGCUGCGGCAUAAAGUUCAUCAUUUUCGGUGCAGCCUAUAAGUAUGCAGCAGAACGAAAUUUCUAAACUAUGUUAUUAAGGAUAUAAAGGAUAUAAUACUUCAUAUUGAAGGAUGCUACAAAAUAUGUUUUGGAAACACUCUAACCUUGGUUUACAGUUUGUUGUUUGCAACACGCAGUUGAAUUUUCAUUUACCUACCUCGUCCAGGAAACCCGCAGACCCGAUAUGCACAAACAUAUAUGGGAUUACCGUCGUCAUAAAGAUCAAAUUAUCUGUGACUUCUCAAUGACUUUCGGGCCAUACAGUAUGUACAUGUAUGUCGUACCCGGGAAUAAACAAUUGCAUCGGCAAUUUGAUGCCCUGUAAGUGGAUACUUAGUCCGCCACUUGGAUAUGUCAUUUGUUUGCAAUAAAUAAAAUAAAAGAGCCCGAAACGGAUCGAACGAACCGUACCGAGGAGAAAAUGGACGGAGGCGGUAAGGCUCGUAUGGAUUCUUAUUUUCAUUGAAAUUUCCAUGUGCCGGGCACGUUUGGAAAAUGAAGCAAUUAAAAGCGUUUUUGUCGCUACCUCAGUGCCUCCAGAUGGGAAAUGCACUUGAAGAAAUACUAUUUAUUUAAAGGAUACUAAAAUAGGAUACUAGGAUAUCGUUAUGU